This 3485-nucleotide long non-coding RNA is filed under the name Homo sapiens (human). RNAcentral's name for it is "HSALNT0408760". Lineage: Eukaryota; Metazoa; Chordata; Mammalia; Primates; Hominidae. The record is from RNAcentral.
CCAAACAUCCCUGGACUAGAAGUUGCAGGGGAAAUCAAACAGCCCAGAAAGUUUAUUCUCCUUGCUGGUAUUUCUUCCACUUGCUAUUUUGCUGAGAGAUGCAUGCAAACUACCCUUAGACUUUCAGAUGCAGUGCGUUUUACUUAGCCGUGCCUGACAAACACACAGAACUUUUACCGUCUGGUAGAUCCGCCUUGACUUUACCAGCGAAUACUAAAGUCACUUAAAAAAAAAUCACAAGGCUCGAAAACAGCAGCAUUAGAAGUAGACUUUAUGGUACUCUGCUCAGCUAUGUUCUCAUUUGAUUCCAACCACUACACGGCAGAAAAGACUGAUGAGCUUCUCUGUGCAAGGGUGCCUUUUUGGAGCAAUGUCCCCAUUCGGUCCAUUGAUAUGAACCACUUCAUUGAAUGUCUUAGACGAUGUGCCUGCUUCCCCUUCCGCUAUGAUUGUAAGUUUCCUGAGGCCUCCUCAGCCAUGCAGAACUGAAAGAAGACUGAAUAAUGAUUGGAAGAACGCCGGAGUCAUCAAGCUCUUUUGAUAACUGCAUAUGUGAACUAGGUCAAGUCACUCUCCCUCAACGGAUCACCAGUUUACCCAACUGUAAAUGGCAACAAUUUUGAACUGAACGUUCUUCCUUCUACAGCCAAAAUUCUUCGUUUGCUAGGUUUGUGAAGUGCUUUUAUAUGUAUGAGCGCUUUCUUAACUAUGAAGAUAUCUGAGUCAUCGAACUUUUGGUGGGGGCAAUCUCAUGAUCAGUCAUGACUAGAUUUUAGAGUUUUCUCAUCCCCAUACUCAAAGUUUUUUUUUUAAGAAUAAAAAUGAAAAGAAACAAUACCCCACAAUAUUUCUGAGCCUCAAAGGACAGACUAAAAAAGCUAACUUUUAAAAUACUUCAUUUUGAAAUAAUUUUGAACUUACAAAAAAAUCGCAAAAAUAAUACCUGGAGUCCCUGUAUACCCUUCACCCAGAUUCCCCUACUGUUAAAUACUUACAUAACCAUAACACAAUUACCAAAACCAGGAAAUUAACACUGGUACGAGACUCUUAACAAGAGAUCUUAUUUGAAUGUCACCAAUUUUCUUCCUAAUGUUCUUCUGUUCUAGGAUCCAAUCCAGGUUCCCACAUGGCAUUUAUUCCUCACUUCUCCUUAGUCUCCUCCAAUCUGUGACACUUUCUAAGUCUUUCCUUGUCUUUCAUGACCAUGACACUUUGGAUGAGUACUGGUCAUUUAUUCUGUAAAAUGCCUCUCACUUUGUGUUUGUUGAAUGUUUUCUCAUGAUUAGACCGAGACCAUGUCUUUUUGGCAGGAACAUCACAGAAAUGGUGUGUAUCCUAUCUGAGGGUAUGUGAUAUUGAUAUAUCUUAUCACUCAUUAUGUUAACCUUAAACACCUGGUUAAAGUGGCAUCUGCUGGGUUUCUCCACUGUAAAGUGACUAUUUUCCCUUUAUUUAUUUAUUUUAGAAACAGGGUCUUGCUGUGUUGCCCAGGCUGGAGUGCAGUGGCACAAUCACUGCUCACUGCAGCCUCAAUCUCCCAGGCUCAAGCGAUCCUCUGCCUCCUGAGUAGCUGGGACUACAGGCAUGCACCAUUAUGCCCAGUUAAUUUUUUUAAAAAUGUUUUGUAUAGACAGGGUCUCGCUAUAUUGCCCAGGCUGGUCUCAAACUCCUGGCCUCAAAAGAUCCUCCCACCUCGGCCUCCCAAAGUGCUGGGAUUAAAGGCAUGAGCCAGCCACCAUGCCUGGUCUAUUUUUUAUUGAUAAAUGAAAUAGACCAUGCCUGUUCUAUUUUUAAUUGAUAAAUAUCCUGGGAGAAAUACUUUGGGACAAUGCAAAUAUCCUGUUUCUCCUCCAACUUUUACCCACUGAUUUCAGCAUAUAUCAGUGGAUCUUGCCUGCAACCAUUAUUACCAUGGCAUUUGCCUACUAGUGAUUUUGUGUUUCCUUCAUUUGUUCUCCAUUUAUUAAUUGGAAUUCUUCUGUAAGGAGGAGUUGUCCCUUCUCCCCAACUUAUCCAUUUAUUCAAUUUUUUUUGUAAACUAUGGACUCAUGGGCAUCUAUUUUAUUCUAUGAGCUAUAAUUCAAUACUGUCAUCAUUUAGUUUCUUGCUCAAGUUAUUCUAACUUCAGCCAUUGGGAGCUCCUUCAGACUGGCUACUAUGCUGUCUUGUCAUGCCCCCACCCUUUCUCUAGCACUUUCUUACAUUCUUACACCAAAAGACAUUACAGCCUCAUCUUGUAUUUUCCCUGCUUCUGUCCAGAAUUAGCCAUUAUUCCAAAGAUCCCGAGUUCCUUUAUUGGAGAAUGAUAUUAGACACAAAGAUGUGGGUACUAAGUAUACUCGUUGCUGUUGGGGUGUUAAUUGCUUCUAGGGCUUCCCAAGACAGAGCUAGGAAAUGAAAGCAUACAUAAUAACCCAUGCAUACACACAGAUCAAUAUCUAUUCCUGUAUCUAUCUGUAUACAUACUCAUGUGUCCUUUCUAAUCCACACCACGGUAUUCAUCCUAACCUUCCCUUUUUAUUUUUAACUUUUUUCCUCUGAUAGUGAGAAAAUAGGCUCUCAUUAUCUACUCUAUAUACAUUUAUUUGUUCAACCUCAGUAUCUACAUACUUACAUAUGCCUGUGAGGAACAGAUUUACUAACUAGAAUCCUGUAUUUGUGUGCAAUUCUUUUUAUCUUUAUUAUAAAUAUAGCACCUCCAGGCUUCUUUUUAUUAGUGUCAGCAUGACAUAGCUUUUCCCAUCUUUUUACUGUUAAUAUUUUAAACUCAAAAAAAGCAAGGAGGAAAACAGUAUGCUACUAUCUGUGUGAAAAUGGAAAAUAAGUAUGGAUAUAUUUGCUCAUAUGUAUAUAUAUAAUAUCUAUGGGAGAGGGAAAACCAAAAUAUCAGUUUGGAGGUCAACUGAUUAACUGGGGAAAAGAGAUGAGGGGAAAACUUCGCUGCAUACUCUACUAUCGUUGAAAUUUCUUAAACUUUUUCAUUGAGUAUAAUUCACAAAUCAUAAAACUCACCCUUUUAAAGUCUACACAUCAGUAGUUUUUAACACAUUUAUAUACAAAGUUGUGUAACUAUCAUCACUAAUUCCAGGACAUUUUCAUCACCCUUAAAAAAAAAGCCAUGUACCCAUUAGUAGUUAAUUCCCAUACCCCUCACCCCUCACUCACCCAUCUACUGCCCUUCACAAGACCCUGGCAACCACUAAUCUGCUUUCUGUCUCUAUGGAUUUGCCAACUCUUGAUGUUUCAUAUAAAUGGAAUCACACAAUAUGUGACCUUUUAUGUCUGGCUUCUUUCACUUAACAUCAUGUUUUUAAGGUUCAUCCAUGUUGUAGCAUGGAUCAGUACUUUGUUCCUUUUUGUAGCUGAGUAAUAUUACAUUGUAUGUAUAUACCAUAUUUUGUUGAUGUACUCAUUAGUUGACUGUUUUUCUAAAUUUUUGAAUUAUGAAAAUAUCCAUUCAAAAAUUAAACUUUAAAAAAUAGAAA